GACGAACGCUGGCGGCGUGCUUAACACAUGCAAGUCGAACGGAAAGGCCCUGCUUUUGUGGGGUGCUCGAGCGGCGAACGGGUGAGUAACACGUGAGUAACCUGCCCCUGACUUUGGGAUAACUUCAGGAAACUGGGGCUAAUACCGGAUAGGAGCUCCUGCUGCAUGGUGGGGGUUGGAAAGUUUCGGCGGUUGGGGAUGGACUCGCGGCUUAUCAGCUUGUUGGUGGGGUAGUGGCUUACCAAGGCUUUGACGGGUAGCCGGCCUGAGAGGGUGACCGGCCACAUUGGGACUGAGAUACGGCCCAGACUCCUACGGGAGGCAGCAGUGGGGAAUAUUGCACAAUGGGCGGAAGCCUGAUGCAGCAACGCCGCGUGCGGGAUGACGGCCUUCGGGUUGUAAACCGCUUUCGCCUGUGACGAAGCGUGAGUGACGGUAAUGGGUAAAGAAGCACCGGCUAACUACGUG
RNAcentral lists this ribosomal RNA (468 nucleotides) under uncultured bacterium. Its description in RNAcentral is "partial 16S ribosomal RNA". It matches the Rfam family "Bacterial small subunit ribosomal RNA", at positions 28 to 507 of the family's 1533-position model. The record is from RNAcentral.